UCUGACUGGCCAUACUCGCAUUCCCCAACUACUGAUAUAGAUCCGUGUCCUACUGCUUAUGGGCCUGGCGCUGCUCACCCUAAACUCACUCCUCUUGCCUUAAGUCUACAUUGAACCUAUUAAGGUCAUUACAGCCCGUCUGCCCUGCCUUGCUUCUAGUCAGCCUGAAGUACCCAUCUUUGAGUCACCAAGUCACUACCAAUGAGAAGAAGCGACCUACAGCGAAAAAGAAUCAAAUAAGAAAUGCAGAAUACACCCGCUAUGCAGAGUUGCGAUAAGGGAAUUAAAGACAGAAGUCAAUAUGCUGGUCUAUAACACAGGAAAAAGAAGAUCUAUAGAAAGAAUUACUGAAACACCCGAUAGACUGGAUUGUGUAUAAAGGAACAGGGAAUAAUUGAACUCAUUGGUAAGAUAAUACCCCUAGUGCGCUUCUCCUAUGUCCCUCGUAGAUCUA
RNAcentral lists this long non-coding RNA (454 nucleotides) under Musa acuminata (dwarf banana). RNAcentral describes it as "long non-coding RNA (MACU_LNC008115)". The record is from RNAcentral. Lineage: Eukaryota; Viridiplantae; Streptophyta; Magnoliopsida; Zingiberales; Musaceae.